UAGUGCGGGCGGUCUACCAUGCAGUCGAGCGGUAGCACAGAGAGCUUGCUCUCGGGUGACGAGCGGCGGACGGGUGAGUAAUGUCUGGGAAACUGCCUGAUGGAGGGGGAUAACUACUGGAAACGGUAGCUAAUACCGCAUAACGUCGCAAGACCAAAGUGGGGGACCUUCGGGCCUCAUGCCAUCAGAUGUGCCCAGAUGGGAUUAGCUAGUAGGUGGGGUAACGGCUCACCUAGGCGACGAUCCCUAGCUGGUCUGAGAGGAUGACCAGCCACACUGGAACUGAGACACGGUCCAGACUCCUACGGGAGGCAGCAGUGGGGAAUAUUGCACAAUGGGCGCAAGCCUGAUGCAGCCAUGCCGCGUGUGUGAAGAAGGCCUUCGGGUUGUAAAGCACUUUCAGCGGGGAGGAAGGCGAUAAGGUUAAUAACCUUGUCGAUUGACGUUACCCGCAGAAGAAGCACCGGCUAACUCCGUGCCAGCAGCCGCGGUAAUACGGAGGGUGCAAGCGUUAAUCGGAAUUACUGGGCGUAAAGCGCACGCAGGCGGUCUGUCAAGUCGGAUGUGAAAUCCCCGGGCUCAACCUGGGAACUGCAUUCGAAACUGGCAGGCUAGAGUCUUGUAGAGGGGGGUAGAAUUCCAGGUGUAGCGGUGAAAUGCGUAGAGAUCUGGAGGAAUACCGGUGGCGAAGGCGGCCCCCUGGACAAAGACUGACGCUCAUGUGCGAAAGCGUGGGGAGCAAACAGGAUUAGAUACCCUGGUAGUCCACGCCGUAAACGAUGUCGAUUUGGAGGUUGUGCCCUUGAGCGUGGCUUCCGGAGCUAACGCGUUAAAUCGACCGCCUGGGGAGUACGGCGCAAGGUUAAAACUCAAAUGAAUUGACGGGGGCCGCACAAGCGUGGAGCAUGUGGUUUAAUUCGAUGCACGCGAGAACCUUACCUGGUCUUGACAUCCACAGACUUUCAGAGAUGGAUGGUGCUUCGGACUGUGAGAAAGUGCUGCAUGCUGUCGUCAGCUCUGUGUGAAUGGUGGGUAGUCGCACGACGCACCUAUCUUGGUGGCACGGUAGCGGACUCAGAACUGCAAUGAUACUGAGAGGUGGAUGACGUCAGUCAUCAUGCUACGAACAGCUACACCUGCUACAAUGGCAUACAAAGAAUCGAACCUCGAGAAACUGACCUAAGAUGGCUAUCAGAUGAUCGCACUCUGAAUUUGAUCGAAUCGUA
Molecule: ribosomal RNA, 1226 nt
Filed under: Klebsiella pneumoniae
Lineage: Bacteria; Pseudomonadati; Pseudomonadota; Gammaproteobacteria; Enterobacterales; Enterobacteriaceae
Description: bacterial SSU rRNA
Rfam family: Bacterial small subunit ribosomal RNA
Source: RNAcentral